AGAAAGGAGACUUCGGUCUCUGAGUACAGUGGCGCACGGGUGCGUAACACGUAAGUAAUCUACCCCGAACCCUGGGAUAACCCUCCGAAAGGAGGGCUAACACUGGAUAGGGUCCCCGAGGUGUAGGCUGCGGGGGGAAAACGGGCCUCUGUUUCAUGCUUGUGGUUCGGGAUGAGCUUGCGGCCCAUUAGCUAGUUGGUAAGGUAAUGGCUUACCAAGGCAACGAUGGGUAGCUGGUCUGAGAGGAUGAUCAGCCACACUGGCACUGAGACACGGGCCAGACUCCUACGGGAGGCAGCAGUGGGGAAUUUUGCGCAAUGGGCGAAAGCCUGACGCAGUAACGCCGCGUGGAGGAUGAAGGCCUUCGGGUUGUAAACUCCUGUCAGGAGGAACGACGGGGAGAGGGUGAUAAACCCUUUCUUCCAGACGGUACCUCCAAAGGAAGCCCCGGCUAAUUCCGUGCCAGCAGCCGCGGUAAUACGGAAGGGGCAAGCGUUGUUCGGAAUCAUUGGGCGUAAAGGGCGCGCANGUGGUUCUGUAUGUCUACCGUGAAAGCGUACGGCUCAACUGUAUUUUGUCGGUAGAAACUGCAGGACUUGAGGCUGGGAGGGGCUGGUGGAAUUCCCUGUGUAGCGGUGAAAGGCGUAAAGAUUGGGGGAGAACACUCGUGGCGAAAGCGGCCAGCUAGACCAGUUCUGACACUGAGGCGCGACAGCGUGGGGAGCAAACAGGAUUAGAUACCCUGGUAGUCCACGCUGUAAACGAUGGGCACUAGGUGCCCGCGGUCUUGAUCCCCUC
This 798-nucleotide ribosomal RNA is filed under the name uncultured Pseudomonadota bacterium. RNAcentral's name for it is "bacterial SSU rRNA". It matches the Rfam family "Bacterial small subunit ribosomal RNA", at positions 68 to 840 of the family's 1533-position model. Lineage: Bacteria; Pseudomonadati; Pseudomonadota. The record is from RNAcentral.